Actinokineospora spheciospongiae is the source of this 109-nucleotide regulatory RNA element. It matches the Rfam family "mraW RNA". Lineage: Bacteria; Bacillati; Actinomycetota; Actinomycetes; Pseudonocardiales; Pseudonocardiaceae. The record is from Rfam.
GGAUUCGGGUGCCGCCAGGCCUCGGUCCGCUCGCCUUCGGCCUUGGCGCACCUUCCCCGGUGCCAAGUCCGACGAGCGGGCGGGGACCUGGCGGCAUCCGUCGAUCCGG